CUUGGUCAUUUAGAGGAAGUAAAAGUCGUAACAAGGUCUCCGUUGGUGAACCAGCGGAGGGAUCAUUACCGAGUUUACAACUCCCAAACCCAAUGUGAACGUUACCAAACUGUUGCCUCGGCGGGAUCUCUGCCCCGGGUGCGUCGCAGCCCCGGACCAAGGCGCCCGCCGGAGGACCAACCAAAAACUCUUUUGUAUACCCCCUCGCGGGUUUUUUAUAUCUGAGCCAUCUCGGCGCCUCUCGUAGGCGUUUCGAAAAUGAAUCAAAACUUUCAACAACGGAUCUCUUGGUUCUGGCAUCGAUGAAGAACGCAGCGAAAUGCGAUAAGUAAUGUGAAUUGCAGAAUUCAGUGAAUCAUCGAAUCUUUGAACGCACAUUGCGCCCGCCAGUAUUCUGGCGGGCAUGCCUGUCCGAGCGUCAUUUCAACCCUCGAACCCCUCCGGGGGGUCGGCGUUGGGGAUCGGCCCUUUACGGGGCCGGCCCCGAAAUACAGUGGCGGUCUCGCCGCAGCCUCUCCUGCGCAGUAGUUUGCACACUCGCAUCGGGAGCGCGGCGCGUCCAUUGCCGUAAAACACCCAACUUUCUGAAAUGUUGACCUCGGAUCAGGUAGGAAUACCCGCUGAACUUAAGCAUAUCAAUAAGCGGAGGA
Molecule: ribosomal RNA, 650 nt
Filed under: Trichoderma spirale
Lineage: Eukaryota; Fungi; Ascomycota; Sordariomycetes; Hypocreales; Hypocreaceae
Description: eukaryotic LSU rRNA
Rfam family: 5.8S ribosomal RNA (bases 268-421)
Source: RNAcentral